UUUUGGCCUCUUCUAGAUAGCGGUGCAGGAGUCAGUGGCUCAGUUGUUCAUGGCCCUGAAGGUCCAGGGGUAUCCGACCCUCAAGGUACCCUAUGAGACGCUGAACAAACGCUUUCGCGCCACUCAGAACAUUGACCGGGAGACCAGCCACGUCACUAUGGUGGUGGCCGAGCUGGAGAAGACGCUGAGUGGCUGCCCCGCCGUGGACUCUGUGGUCAGCCUGCUGGACGGCGUGGUGGAGAAACUCAGCGUCCUUAAGAGGAAGGCGGUGGAGUCCAUCCAGGCUGAGGAUGAGAGCGCCAAGCUGUGCAAGCGCCGGAUCCAGCACCUCAAAGAGCACAGCAGCGAGCAGCCCGUGGCGGCCAGCGUGUGGCAGAGGAAGCGCAUGGCCGCAGGAUGCUGGAGCACCUGCUGCGCUGCGGCUACUACAACACGGCUGUCAGGGUGGCGCGCCAGAGCGGCAUCGAGGACCUCGUGAAUAUCAAGAUGUUUCGGCCGAAGAGGUAGAGGAGUCCCUGGAGCGACUUGAGACGGCCACCUGCCUGGCCUGGUGCCAUGACAACACGUCCCGGCUCCGGAAGAUGAAGAGCUGCCUGGAGUUCAGCCUCAGAAUCCAGGAGUUCAUUGAACUCAUCCGGCAAAAUAAGAGAUUGGACGCCGUGAGACAGGCGAGAAAGCACUUCAACCAAGCAGAAGGGAGCCAGCUGGAUGAGGUGCGCCAGGCCAUGGGCAUGCUGGCCUUCCUCCCUGACACACACAUCUCCCCGUACAAGGACCUCCUGGACCCCGCACGGUGGCGGAUGCUGAUCCAGCAGAUCCCGUACGACAACUACCGACUACACCAGCUGGAAAACAACUCCGUGUUCACCCUCAGCCUGCAGGCCGGCCUCUCCGCCAUCAAGACACCACAGUGCUACAAGGAGGACGGCAGCUCCAAGAGCCCCAACUGCCCUGUGUGCAGCCGCUCCCUCAACAAGCUGGCUCAGCCCCUGCCCAUGGCCCACUGUGCCAACUCCCGCCUGGUCUGCAAGAUCUCCGGCGUUGUGAUGAACGAGAACAACCCGCCCUUGAUGCUGCGCAACGGCUACGUCUACAGCUACAAUUCUCUGCUUUCUAUCCGUCAAGAUGAUAAAGUCGUUUGCCCAAGAACCAAAGAAGUCUUUCACUUCUCACAAUCCGAGAGAGAAGGUGUACAUCAUGUAGGCCCCUCGUCGCCAAGCGUACGCCAAGGGUACGGCUGCAGCGGGCGGGGAGGCCGCGCCUUCCUCCUGCCCCGCGCUCCAGCUGGCCGCGGCGCUUCUGUUCUUGCGACCAAAGAUCAGCGAGCAGCGAUAAAUACUCUUUAGGAAGAGAGGAAAUAAGAUUUAAUAAAUUUGUACUUGAAAACAACAUUUUGAUUGGUAGGAUUUUGCAACAUGUCAACCAUUUGAUGCUUCUGAAAAGUACUUUCAACUUUCGAAGGAAACUUUCCUUUAAAGACUGACCUAAACCCCGAGGGAAACUUUAGAACGUUUCAAAAAUAGGAGUCCACGAUUUCCCCGUGUUUUUGGUUUCUUCCCUUCUGCGAACGGUGAGACUUGGAGAACAGGCUGGUCCUUCGCCACCUCCCAGAGCCCCUGGCCCGGCCUGGGAAAGGUGGCGGCGGCGCUGGACUGAGCUGCAGCGACCCGCAAUGCCGCGCCAUGAGGGACACACGGCUUCCUUCGAGAGCUGCUGCCGUGGGGGGCUGGCUUUGAGGGCGCCUGCCUGCCUUCGGGCCGUGUCCGCGGGACUGUCUGCGUCGGUGGGUAGGUUCCAUAUCACAUCCCCGUGUGCCGCCUUACUUCCUGCUUCGAGAAUGUAUAACGUGGAAAUCCACGGGACCAAGUUUCUGCAGAGGCCUUGCCGGGUGGUUCCAUAACUGUAGAGUCGAAUUAAUCGUUCAGUUGAGAGUACUGGUGACGUUUCAAAGCAAAUGAACCACCGUAGUUUUCACAGAACCAUAUCAUGGAGGUUUGUAGUUAGCGCUUAUUUUUGCGUGUUGAUGUUGACUAGCUAAUAAACUCUAAAUGUAAACCAUGGAA
RNA transcript from Cebus imitator (Panamanian white-faced capuchin), 2063 nucleotides. It is a transcript of the gene named E3 ubiquitin-protein transferase MAEA-like, with no coding region annotated. The transcript has a single exon. Lineage: Eukaryota; Metazoa; Chordata; Mammalia; Primates; Cebidae. The record is from RefSeq and is a predicted model, not a curated record.